UGGUUAUUUUUUUUAUUCAAAGUUUGAAGAUUUAGAUUCAUACCGUUAAAAAUAACCAAAUAGAUUCAUACCGUUAAAAAUAACCAAAUGAGGGGCUGUUUGUUAAUCAAUGGAAUCACCUUCUGGAGAUUGGGACGUAAUUUGAAUAAAGGAUUUAACAGUGGGGGCAUUUUAGUCAUUUCAUAAAAUGACUUCAACUUAGGGCUCAGAAGCCCCCGUCUCUUACUCUCUUUUGUUUUGAUGGGGUAGAGGAUAUGAAUCGUUCCCAAAGGAGGUCACCAAGGAAGUCGAUUAUAGACGCGAAGGGGCAAUCGGCGACCAGAAGGGAGCACGAUGGUUCGUCGCUCGACUCGCAAUCGGUGGCGGCCUCCGUCGUUCGACUAGACCGAAGAAGAAGGAUCGAAGCAGCGAGGCGGCUGUGACCUCGGACUAGAAGAAAGAGACGUAGCAGCGGGGCUGCUCGUCUUCAGUCUUGGAAGGAGUUGCGAAGGAAAACGAGAUGGCUGCGAGGCCUGAUGGCGGUCGUCAUCUCGCGAAGAAGAUGGAGCGCCUCCGAUGCCUGGAAUUUGCCUUCGGUCGUCGACCGAUCAUGAAGAAAAAGGAGCGCCUCCGUUCUUUGACCGGUUGUGUAGAAGAACUAAGGUAGAAGUCAAAACGGGUCUUCAAUUUCUGGACUGACCGAAUAGAAGAAGAUGAACGGAAGCAGCCAUGGCUAGCAGGACAAUCAUCGAUCAUGGUAGCUAGGGCGUUUGGGUGGUUCUUCUUCAGCAGAAAAAAAUGAACGGGAUCAGCAACAUGUAUGGUUUUGAUUGUUUUGAUAUAAAAUCGAUGCGGUUUUUGGAGUGUUUGGGUUUGAUUGCUUGGCAGGAAGAAGGAAACACGAAGAAGAAAUGGGCUACUGCCCUCUUGGUUGUUCUUGGCAGCAAUCGAAGGAGGAGAAGAAGGAAUAACAGAGGGGGAUGUAACAAACACGAAGGAACAAGCAAUAGAGAGUAGUCUAUGGUGGAGUGGUGUGUUGCACGAUCUGUAGGUGGCUGAGAGGGGCUGAAGGAUUGGGACUGCCGCCGCCGGCGAAGAAUCGCCCUGCCGAAAUCUUCUUCAGUGAUUCUAUAAUGAUGGGGGUUUUUGAAAAAAAAAAAUCUGAUUUUACAAAGAUUUUAGUGGAUUUUAAUUGAUUUGUUUUACAAAUAUUAGAUUUUUAAGAGAUAUUUGAUGUAAAAUCAAAUGGUUGGUUUAUUUUAUUUGUUUAUUUAUUUUAUGAUGAAAUCUCUGAUUCUCGAUUCUUGUGCCA
Long non-coding RNA from Lactuca sativa (garden lettuce), 1291 nucleotides. RefSeq lists it as uncharacterized. The record is from RefSeq and is a predicted model, not a curated record. Lineage: Eukaryota; Viridiplantae; Streptophyta; Magnoliopsida; Asterales; Asteraceae.